GGGGAAUCCGGUGCGAAUCCGGAGCUGACGCGCAACGGUGUCGAGACGGCGGGGGCCGUCUCCGAGCCCGAAUGCCC
RNAcentral lists this non-coding RNA (77 nucleotides) under Streptomyces griseus. The record is from RNAcentral. Lineage: Bacteria; Bacillati; Actinomycetota; Actinomycetes; Kitasatosporales; Streptomycetaceae.